AAACUUUCAACAACGGAUCUCUUGGUUCUGGCAUCGCAUGAAGAACGCAGCGAAAUGCGAUAAGUAAUGUGAAUUGCAAAAUUCAUUGAAUCAUCCAAUCUUUGAACGCACAUUGCGCCCGCUGGAAUUCCAGCGGGCAUGCCUGUUCGAGC
Molecule: ribosomal RNA, 152 nt
Filed under: Coniella crousii
Lineage: Eukaryota; Fungi; Ascomycota; Sordariomycetes; Diaporthales; Schizoparmaceae
Description: 5.8S ribosomal RNA
Rfam family: 5.8S ribosomal RNA
About the family: 5.8S ribosomal RNA (5.8S rRNA) is a component of the large subunit of the eukaryotic ribosome. It is transcribed by RNA polymerase I as part of the 45S precursor that also contains 18S and 28S rRNA.
Source: RNAcentral